GCGCAGGUGGCGGAAUGGUAUACGCGCAUGCUUGAGGUGCAUGUGCCGAAAGGCUUGGAGGUUCGAGUCCUCUCCUGCGCACCA
RNAcentral lists this transfer RNA (84 nucleotides) under Candidatus Magasanikiibacteriota bacterium. Its description in RNAcentral is "Candidatus Magasanikbacteria bacterium tRNA-Leu". It matches the Rfam family "tRNA". From Rfam's summary of the family: Transfer RNA (tRNA) molecules are approximately 80 nucleotides in length. Their secondary structure includes four short double-helical elements and three loops (D, anti-codon, and T loops). Lineage: Bacteria; Candidatus Magasanikiibacteriota. The record is from RNAcentral.